UUGGCGGUGUACUCCCAGGUCGAAUCGGCGCUGAGCAGACACUGCUCGCCGAACCGGUCGCCGUCGCCCAGCACGCCGAGCCGGGUCGGCUCGCCGUACGGACCGCUGCCGGUCUUGACGACCUUGCCGUGCGCGAUCAGAUAGAUGUGAUCGGCCGCGGUGCCCUCCUCCGCCAGCACCUCACCGGCCUCGAAGUCGCGCUGCACGAAACGGUUGGCGAGCGCCGUCAGCACGCCCACGUCCUCGAAGCCGCGCAACACCGCGAGCUCCCCGAGCUCACGCGGAAUGACCUGCACCCGCGAACCGGUCUGCACAAACUCGAUACGGCCGUCCCCGACGGUGUAGGUGAGGCGCCGGUUGACCCGGUACACCCCGCCGUCGGUCUGCACCCAGGGGAGCACCUUGAGCAGCCAGCGGGAGGUGAUCCCCUGCAUCUGCGGAACGGACUUGGUGGUGGUGGCGAGGUUGCGUGCGGCGGCGGUGCCGAGGCUGAGCUGCUCCUGCCG
Molecule: non-coding RNA, 506 nt
Organism: Streptomyces bingchenggensis BCW-1
Lineage: Bacteria; Bacillati; Actinomycetota; Actinomycetes; Kitasatosporales; Streptomycetaceae
Rfam family: Saccharopolyspora sRNA 350
Source: Rfam